This 264-nucleotide ribosomal RNA is filed under the name uncultured bacterium. Its description in RNAcentral is "partial 16S ribosomal RNA". It matches the Rfam family "Bacterial small subunit ribosomal RNA", at positions 29 to 318 of the family's 1533-position model. The record is from RNAcentral.
AGCGAACGCUGGCGGAAUGCUUAACACAUGCAAGUCGCACGGGGGCUUCGGCCUUAGUGGCGGACGGGUGAGUAACGCGUAGGAACGUGUCUUGGGGGUGGGGGAUAACGCUGGGAACUGGCGCUAAUACCGCAUGUCUGCUGUGGCAGAAAGCCUUCGGGUGCCUUGAGAGCGGCCUGCGUCCGAUUAGCUAGUUGGUGGGGUAAAGGCUUACCAAGGCGACGAUCGGUAGCNGGUCUGAGAGGACGAUCAGCCACACUGGAC